Molecule: ribosomal RNA, 567 nt
Filed under: Triticum aestivum (bread wheat)
Lineage: Eukaryota; Viridiplantae; Streptophyta; Magnoliopsida; Poales; Poaceae
Description: partial small subunit ribosomal RNA
Source: RNAcentral
AAUCAACUAAACACGACCUACAUUGCACUCAUUCCAAAGAAGGACAAUGCCAUUCGGCCAUCUGAUUACCGUUCCAUCAGUCUGACGCAUAGUAUGGCCUAGCUGCUUUGGAAGAUGUUGGCAUCUAGGAUUGCAACUGUGCUACAACAUCUCAUUUCCCACAACCAAAGUGCAUCCCUGAAGAACCAUAUCAUUCAGGACAACUUUCUCUACGUCCAAAACCUGAUCAGAAACCUCCACUAGACUAAAAAGAAGGCCAUUUUCAUCAAGCUUGAUAUUAUGAAAGCGUUUGACUCCGUUCGCUGGAGCUAUCUUCUAGAUGCUCUCGCUCAGCUUGGUUUUGGUCAGAGAUUUAGAGACCUUGUUGCCCUGCCUUUGGCGUCAACUUCACCCCGUGUGCUGCUUAACAGCACCCCUCAUUCUCCUUUCUACCAUAGCGCGGGCUGCGACAAGGCGACCCUAUAUCUCCUUUUCUGUUCAUGUUGGUCACUGAACUACUACAUGAGAUCCUCGUCAAAUCCUCUGAAACCAAUAUUCUCAAACCAAUCGCUCACCCCGAUGAGCUAA